UAUUUUUUCACUUCAUCCGCCAACACCAUCACACCAUCUUCACCGAUGCGUUAAUUCUUGGAAAAAUUAUCUUUCUCCUCCUUUAUUUGUGGGGUGGGGGGGAGGGAGACUGGGAGGCUUGUCUUUGAUCUCUCAGUUGCCCGCUCCAUGUCCUAAAUCUCUCUCUAAAUUUCAAUUCUUUCUUUUCAAUCUAUAACCAACACCAUCCGUGCUGAGUAACGAGUGGAAGGAAACAUCUAUUCCUAGAAGGAUUUUCUUCUUUUUUGCCAACAUUUUGUACGUGGUUUCCCUGAUUUUUGUCUUCGUUUCUCGAUGUUGUGGAUCUAACCCCACUUCCCAUUUUGGAAACUCUCUCAAAUUAUGUAUCUUUCUUCUAUCCGUUAAGAUCCGCUUACUCUUGUCGUUGUUGUUCGGAAGAGUUUAGUCAUCUCUUCUUCUUUUCCUUUGGGAACUCUUGCAACCCAGAGAAUCUAUGUAAUCUAGAGUUAGAUUUGUCAAAAUGGUGAAAGACCCGUUUCUCAAGUCGUUGAAAUUCGAUCACUUUCCCGUCUUUUUCUCUCAAUCUCUGGCAAUUUCAACUACUCUGAUCAGCACUUUAGGGUUUUGAGGAAAGAGAAUUGCACCUUCUUCUUUUGCCAAUGGAUUUCUCCAGCGGCAACGUGGUCGAAGUAAUUACCGGAAGUGGUCCGGACAGCUGGUCUGGCGGCGACCAUGCCAUGUGGGCGACGGAGGACGAUUACCGAGCCUGGAACAACAAUGGCGACGACACGCCUUCGACCAACUCGAAUUACGACCAGAGGCAAUCACAGAGUCGCUCCGGGAGCGAACCCCUGAACAAGAAAUCGAGGAAUUCCCAGGAUGUGACUUCUUCCAAUCGAUCCAAAGCUAUCGGGAAAAUGUUUUUCAAGACCAAACUUUGUUGCAAGUUCCGCGGCGGGACGUGCCCAUAUAUAACUAAUUGUAAUUUCGCCCACAGCAUUGAAGAGCUUCGGCGGCCUCCUCCGAAUUGGCAGGAUAUCGUGGCGGCUCAUGAGGAGGAGAAGGCGGUGGUUUCAUCUGAGCCGAGGGAGGAGUAUCAGAUACCGUCGUUGGGAUCCUUUAAUUUUGUGGUGGAGACGCCGAGGUCUUUUAAGGGGCGGCAUUGCAAGAAAUUCUACACAGAGGAGGGGUGCCCCUAUGGAGAUAAUUGCACGUUCCUUCACGACGAGCAGUCGAAGAAUCGAGAGAGCGUGGCUAUAAGUUUGGGGCCUGGUGGCUAUGGUGGUGGUGGUGGUGGUGAUGGCGGCGGCGGCGGCAGCACUGGGCGCAGUGGCGGCGGUGGUGCUGCUGCCGGGAGUGCCAGUGGGCAGAAUGCCAAACCAUCAAAUUGGAAAACAAGGAUUUGCAACAAGUGGGAGUUGACGGGGUAUUGCCCAUUUGGAAGCAAAUGCCAUUUUGCUCAUGGUGCGGCAGAAUUGCACCGAUAUGGAGGUGGGCUUAUGGAGGGAGAUACUAGAGAUUCUUCAUCUGCACCUCCCGACUCAAAGCAGGGAGGAGUACCUUCAAAAACUUCGGCAGAUACUCUGGUAGCAUCGGUCCCUUCAGUUCCUCAUUCUGAUGUUUUUCAUAUCGGAGUUCCAUCACAAAGGUCUUCUGUUGCAAUUCAGAGGCCGGGGCAGAGAACUCAACAGAAAUGGAAGGGUCCAGAUAAAAUCAGCAGGAUAUAUGGUGACUGGAUUGAUGACAUCGAAUAAAAAUUGGAAAGCCCUGUCAGGAAAUGUUGAAGAUUGGCAUUAAGGAAUCAAUCUCCAUCACAGAAUACUUCAAUCUCCUUAGUGGGUGCAUGGUGUCAAAUGCUGAAUAUCAGCAGUUAGAACAAUCUCCAUCAUAGAGUACUUUAAUCUCCUUAGUGAGGGCAUUGUGUCAAAUGCUGAAGAUGGACACUGGAUAGUAAGAAAUCAGCCUCCACCACACGGUACUUUAAUCUCCUUGGUGAGGGCAUGGCGUCAACACGUAGCUUCAAGUUUCAGUAGAAGCCUUAUUGUUGGGAGUCUCAGCCACAUCAUCUUCAGCAAAUGAAAGGAGCAUUAUGUGGAUGUGGGAAAAUUAAUGCCCUAAAUGGAUUUAUGUCAAAGUUUAUACCCUGAAGAUGAUCAUAUCAACAAAAUAUCUAUAAGAAUUGCUUGUGUAGACAUCAGGAAGAGAAUUCAUUCCAUGGCCGUGGCCUUCUUAAUGCAUUUGGCAAGAGAUUACGAGGCACCGUUAUACUUGAAGAAAGUCUGAUGGAUGCUCAACUCGGGCUUUUCCGACUUCAGAGGAAAAACAGAAAGUUAGAUCGAACGAAUGAAACUGUCUAUGAACUCAUUGCCUGCAAGAAUCUCAAAGAUGCUCCUUUAAACAGACAUUCUGUAUCAAUUUACUGUACUUGUGUUCUUAUUUAGUAGCUGCAGUUUCUGUACAUGGUAGGUUGUUUUUGGCUGCACAAGUCUUAACUGAAUUGUAUUUUUAUACCCCAUUAUUUAAUGCAAGUAUUUCGUUCUCGGCUGA
Molecule: RNA transcript, 2526 nt
Organism: Carya illinoinensis
Lineage: Eukaryota; Viridiplantae; Streptophyta; Magnoliopsida; Fagales; Juglandaceae
Gene name: zinc finger CCCH domain-containing protein 12-like
Exons: 3
Source: RefSeq, a predicted model, not a curated record